This 982-nucleotide ribosomal RNA is filed under the name uncultured bacterium. RNAcentral's name for it is "bacterial SSU rRNA". It matches the Rfam family "Bacterial small subunit ribosomal RNA", at positions 55 to 1029 of the family's 1533-position model. The record is from RNAcentral.
AUGCAAGUCGAACGGAAACGAUACUAGCUUGCUAGUAGGCGUCGAGUGGCGGACGGGUGAGUAACGCGUAGGAAUCUACCUGAUAGUGGGGGAUAGCCCGAAGAAAUUCGGAUUAAUACCGCAUAAUCUAUUAGUAGUAAAGUGGGGGACUUUCGAGCCUCACGCUAUCAGAUGAGCCUGCGUAAGAUUAGCUAGUUGGUAGGGUAAAAGCCUACCAAGGCAACGAUCUUUAGCUGGUCUGAGAGGAUGAUCAGCCACAUCGGGACUGAGACACGGCCCGAACUCCUACGGGAGGCAGCAGUGGGGAAUAUUGGACAAUGGGGGCAACCCUGAUCCAGCAAUACCGCGUGUGUGAAGAAGGCCUGAGGGUUGUAAAGCACUUUCAAUUGUGAAGAAAAGUUAGCGGUUAAUAACCGUUAGCCUUGACGUUAACUUUAGAAGAAGCACCGGCUAACUCCGUGCCAGCAGCCGCGGUAAUACGGAGGGUGCAAGCGUUAAUCGGAAUUACUGGGCGUAAAGCGUGCGUAGGCGGUUUAUUAAGUCAGAUGUGAAAGCCCCGGGCUUAACCUGGGAACUGCAUUUGAAACUGGUCAACUAGAGUAUGGUAGAGGAAAGUGGAAUUUCUGGUGUAGCGGUGAAAUGCGUAGAUAUCAGAAGGAACAUCAAUGGCGAAGGCAGCUUUCUGGACCAAUACUGACGCUGAGGUACGAAAGCGUGGGUAGCAAACAGGAUUAGAUACCCUGGUAGUCCACGCCGUAAACGAUGAUAACUAGCCGUUGGGGGGAUUUACCCUUUAGUGGCGAAGCUAACGCGUUAAGUUAUCCGCCUGGGGAGUACGGCCGCAAGGUUAAAACUCAAAGGAAUUGACGGGGACCCGCACAAGCGGUGGAGCAUGUGGUUUAAUUCGAUGCAACGCGAGAACCUUACCUGGUCUUGACAUCCUGCGAACUUUCUAGAAAUAGAUUGGUGCCUUCGGGAACGC